GAAGAAGCGCAUACGGUGGAUGCCUUGGCAGUCAGAGGCGAUGAAAGACGUGGUAGCCUGCGAAAAGCUUCGGGGAGUCGGCAAACAGACUUUGAUCCGGAGAUGUCUGAAUGGGGGAACCCACCUAACAUAAGUUAGGUAUCUUAAGCUGAAUACAUAGGCUUAAGAAGCGAACCAGGGGAACUGAAACAUCUAAGUACCCUGAGGAAAAGAAAUCAACCGAGAUUCCCUUAGUAGUGGCGAGCGAACGGGGACCAGCCCUUAAGCUGUAUUGAUGUUAGCGGAACGCUCUGGAAAGUGCGGCCAUAGUGGGUGAUAGCCCUGUACGCGAAAACAUCUUUGCAGUGAAAUCGAGUAGGACGGAGCACGAGAAACUUUGUCUGAAUAUGGGGGGACCAUCCUCCAAGGCUAAAUACUACUGACUGACCGAUAGUGAACCAGUACCGUGAGGGAAAGGCGAAAAGAACCCCGGAGAGGGGAGUGAAAUAGAUCCUGAAACCGUAUGCGUACAAGCAGUGGGAGCCCACUUUGUUGGGUGACUGCGUACCUUUUGUAUAAUGGGUCAGCGACUUAUUUUCAGUGGCGAGCUUAACCGAAUAGGGGAGGCGUAGCGAAAGCGAGUCUUAAUAGGGCGUCUAGUCGCUGGGAAUAGACCCGAAACCGGGCGAUCUAUCCAUGGGCAGGUUGAAGGUUGGGUAACACUAACUGGAGGACCGAACCGACUACCUUUGAAAAGUUAGCGGAUGACCUGUGGAUCGGAGUGAAAGGCUAAUCAAGCUCGGAGAUAGCUGGUUCUCCUCGAAAGCUAUUUAGGUAGCGCCUCAUGUAUCACUGUAGGGGGUAGAGCACUGUUUCGGCUAGGGGGUCAUCCCGACUUACCAAACCGAUGCAAACUCCGAAUACCUACAAGUGCCGAGCAUGGGAGACACACGGCGGGUGCUAACGUCCGUCGUGAAGAGGGAAACAACCCAGACCGCCAGCUAAGGUCCCAAAGUCAUGGUUAAGUGGGAAACGAUGUGGGAAGGCACAGACAGCCAGGAUGUUGGCUUAGAAGCAGCCAUCAUUUAAAGAAAGCGUAAUAGCUCACUAGUCGAGUCGGCCUGCGCGGAAGAUGUAACGGGGCUCAAACCAUGCACCGAAGCUACGGGUAUCACCUUUUGGUGAUGCGGUAGAGGAGCGUUCUGUAAGCCUGUGAAGGUGAGUUGAGAAGCUUGCUGGAGGUAUCAGAAGUGCGAAUGCUGACAUGAGUAACGACAAUGGGUGUGAAAAACACCCACGCCGAAAGACCAAGGUUUCCUGCGCAACGUUAAUCGACGCAGGGUUAGUCGGUCCCUAAGGCGAGGCUGAAAAGCGUAGUCGAUGGAAAACAGGUUAAUAUUCCUGUACUUCUGGUUAUUGCGAUGGAGGGACGGAGAAGGCUAGGCCAGCUUGGCGUUGGUUGUCCAAGUUUAAGGUGGUAGGCUGGAAUCUUAGGUAAAUCCGGGAUUCUAAGGCCGAGAGCUGAUGACGAGUGUUCUUUUAGAACACGAAGUGGUUGAUGCCAUGCUUCCAAGAAAAGCUUCUAAGCUUCAGGUAACCAGGAACCGUACCCCAAACCGACACAGGUGGUUGGGUAGAGAAUACCAAGGCGCUUGAGAGAACUCGGGUGAAGGAACUAGGCAAAAUGGCACCGUAACUUCGGGAGAAGGUGCGCCGGUGAGGGUGAAGCAUUUACUGCGUAAGCUCACGCCGGUCGAAGAUACCAGGCCGCUGCGACUGUUUAUUAAAAACACAGCACUCUGCAAACACGAAAGUGGACGUAUAGGGUGUGACGCCUGCCCGGUGCCGGAAGGUUAAUUGAUGGGGUUAGCUAACGCGAAGCUCUUGAUCGAAGCCCCGGUAAACGGCGGCCGUAACUAUAACGGUCCUAAGGUAGCGAAAUUCCUUGUCG
This 1930-nucleotide ribosomal RNA is filed under the name Prorocentrum minimum. Its description in RNAcentral is "partial Bacterial large subunit ribosomal RNA". It matches the Rfam family "Bacterial large subunit ribosomal RNA", at positions 1 to 1974 of the family's 2925-position model. Lineage: Eukaryota; Dinophyceae; Prorocentrales; Prorocentraceae. The record is from RNAcentral.